UGGGGAAUUUUCCGCAAUGGGCGAAAGCCUGACGGAGCAAUGCCGCGUGGAGGUGGAAGGCCUACGGGUCGCAACUUCUUUUCUCGGAGAAGAAACAAUGACGGUAUCUGAGGAAUAAGCAUCGGCUAACUCUGUGCCA
Molecule: ribosomal RNA, 139 nt
Filed under: uncultured bacterium
Lineage: Bacteria
Description: partial 16S rRNA
Rfam family: Bacterial small subunit ribosomal RNA
Source: RNAcentral